Molecule: unclassified non-coding RNA, 372 nt
Filed under: plant metagenome
Description: partial contains small subunit ribosomal RNA and internal transcribed spacer 1
Rfam family: Eukaryotic small subunit ribosomal RNA (bases 1-46)
Source: RNAcentral
AAGUCGUAACAAGGUUUCCGUAGGUGAACCUGCGGAAGGAUCAUUAAAAAUAUCAAUCCGGUUUUGACAUCAACGCGCCCGGUUUACGGUUGCCUAGUGGGGCUGUUUUAUAUUCACAGCAAUACCAGUUGAUACUUCACGCCCUCACGGGGGCCUUGUGGGGCUGUCUUAAACUCACAGCAUUACCAGUGAUUCAUGUCGAACUUAAGCCUGGGCCUUCGGCCCCAGGGCCGGUUGAGAACCCACCCGUGUCUGUAUACUCUUGUUGCUUUGGCAGGCCGUGGCCUCCACUGUGGGCUCUGCCUGCAUGUGCCUGCCAGAGGAUCAAACUCUGAAUUUUAGUGAUGUCUGAGUACUAUAUAUAGUUAAAAC